RNAcentral lists this ribosomal RNA (468 nucleotides) under uncultured bacterium. RNAcentral describes it as "partial 16S ribosomal RNA". It matches the Rfam family "Bacterial small subunit ribosomal RNA", at positions 28 to 507 of the family's 1533-position model. The record is from RNAcentral.
GACGAACGCUGGCGGCGUGCUUAACACAUGCAAGUCGAACGGAAAGGCCCUGCUUUUGUGGGGUGCUCGAGUGGCGAACGGGUGAGUAACACGUGAGUAACCUGCCCUUGACUUUGGGAUAACUUCAGGAAACUGGGGCUAAUACCGGAUAGGAGCUCCUGCUGCAUGGUGGGGGUUGGAAAGUUUCGGCGGUUGGGGAUGGACUCGCGGCUUAUCAGCUUGUUGGUGGGGUAGUGGCUUACCAAGGCUUUGACGGGUAGCCGGCCUGAGAGGGUGACCGGCAACAUGGGGACUGAGAUACGGCCCAGACUCCUACGGGAGGCAGCAGUGGGGAAUAUUGCACAAUGGGCGGAAGCCUGAUGCAGCAACGCCGCGUGCGGGAUGACGGCCUUCGGGUUGUAACCCGCUUUCGCCUGUGACGAAGCGUGAGUGACGGUAAUGGGUAAAGAAGCACCGGCUAACUACGUG